AGGAUUGUGUUUUAGAGAUAUCUCACAAUUGAUCGAAAUGAUCGAUUUAUAUAGAAGUGAAAAAGCUGAAGUUACUGUGCGUACAUAGCGACGGUGGGUUCCAUAUCAUUUAUAAUGUCAAAAGUUUUGUGCCGUAAACAUCGAUGUUGUUUAGUUUAUAACAGAUUUCAUUCCAACAAACAAUAUAUUUCCGUUUUUCUCGAUCCCUUUCAACUAAAUAAUUUUUGGCAUAAUUAAAAGUGUUUGUGAUCUGGAACAAGAGAUCAUCGCGGAUUUGCGGAUUUCAAGUUAAGCGCUUUGUACGAGGUCAUUAUGAAGGCGAUUUGUCUUAGGGUUCGGAGAAGUGGACGAAGGUUUUGCGACUUGAUUUUCAUCUUGCUAGGAAACCCUUUAGUGGCUUCUCUAAUGGCGGUUCUUAAUUCAAGAUGGAGACGCUGAUCCCUGCUGCACUAACAAGUUCCAAGUUCACAAAAAUAAAAAAAAAAUCAAAAGAGAAAGAAGAUUGAGCACUCACUGAUUAACAUAAAUAUGUCUGUCUUUUUAUAUAUCUUAUAACUCCUUUGUGGUUUUGUUGACAUUUGGUCGGUGUCAGUGAUUUGUAGUGUCUGGGUUUGAAGAAUCUUCGGAAUACAUAUUUUCUGAAUUCUGUAUCGCAAUUUUUGACAUACACUGAGUGCUUAGAUGCUUACUUUCUUGAUGUUGGCAAUGUGAAACGUUGUAUGUUGCAUUUGGAAGCUGGUUUGAUUAAUUGCUUGGCUUGAGGCAUGUUAGGACGGCCCUUCAAGCUCCUGGCAGAAUAGCAGCACCAAGUCUCAAACUUUGGAGGUACACUUUUGUAAUCUUUUGUAAGAAUCUAAUCAUAUCUUUCUGGAAAGAGAUGAUCUUCACGGCAAUACUAUCAAUUGUACAUUUAUGCGUCAUGUACGUCAGUAAGGUUAUCAUCCAGAGCUCAUAGAUUUCACCUUCGGCAAGAGAUCUCUGCCCUUGCAGGAUCUUCUUUGAGGAAUGAGAGGAGCCACAUCUCAUGUCAUUGCCAAAAAAGCUGAGCUAAUUUCUAAAGGAAUUAUAUAAUUUCAUAAAUAGGAGAUUGAUUCAUUGUCAUUGAUUUUGUCUUGAUUAAUUACUACUCUGAUAGAUAACAGAGCUAAAGAUGUUACAAGUAUUUCCAACGGAUCUUGUUUGAGACUCUUAAAAUUUUUGAAUUCCGAGAUUCGCUUAUAAGUUUACGUGGAGAAGUAGUGGCUUUUGACCAAAAUCCUUGGUCUAAUGGUUGCAGGAUUUUUACAAAAUUUCCAGUGGAUGUUUAUUCUAUGCUUUAAUUGGAGGAUAGCAAUCAAUAAACACCUCAGCUUUUGUCUAUCAUUUUCAUAAGAUUUUUUUGUUUCACUUAUAUAUUUGUGUACCUCUCAGCUUUCCUCUGAUGUUAAAGAGCAGGAAACUUCAGCAGUUGAUUACACAGCAGGGGACAUGAUCUUUUUCUACUGUGAUUCCCCAUACCUCCAAGGUUCUAUCUGAAGUAGAAGAGAGUGAUAGUACAGGAAAUUCCAUGAAAAGAGGAUGACGAAGAAGAUGAGCAUGAUGAAGAACAUUUUCACUAACCUGGGGUAGAAGAACUAAAUUAUAAAACAUCAUAGAGUUUUACCUCUAUCGACUGAGCUGUGGAAAGUCUGUAAACAUGAACAUGUUUGGUUUGACCAAUUCGGUGACAUUUGUCCAUGGUUUGCAAGGCCAUUCGAGAGUUUUGUAUCAGGAACCCCCAUAGGGAAAAAUAUUGUUAAUAAAAUUUUCUAAAUAA
Brassica napus (rape) is the source of this 1795-nucleotide long non-coding RNA. RefSeq lists it as uncharacterized. Lineage: Eukaryota; Viridiplantae; Streptophyta; Magnoliopsida; Brassicales; Brassicaceae. The record is from RefSeq and is a predicted model, not a curated record. The transcript is spliced from 2 exons.